RNAcentral lists this ribosomal RNA (446 nucleotides) under uncultured bacterium. Its description in RNAcentral is "bacterial SSU rRNA". It matches the Rfam family "Bacterial small subunit ribosomal RNA", at positions 30 to 476 of the family's 1533-position model. The record is from RNAcentral.
AUUGAACGCUGGCGGCAUGCCUUACACAUGCAAGUCGAACGGCAGCACGGGGCAACCUGGUGGCGAGUGGCGAACGGGUGAGUAAUGCAUCGGAACGUGCCAUUGAGUGGGGGAUAACGUAGCGAAAGUUGCGCUAAUACCGCAUAUUCUGUGAGCAGGAAAGCAGGGGGACCGCAAGGCCUUGCGCUCUUUGAGCGGCCGAUGUCAGAUUAGCUAGUUGGUGAGGUAACGGCUUACCAAGGCGACGAUCUGUAGCGGGUCUGAGAGGAUGAUCCGCCACACUGGAACUGAGACACGGUCCAGACUCCUACGGGAGGCAGCAGUGGGGAAUUUUGGACAAUGGGCGCAAGCCUGAUCCAGCAAUGCCGCGUGAGUGAAGAAGGCCUUCGGUGUAAGCUCUUUCAGCCGGAAAGAAAACGGACACGGGUUAAGUAACCUAGUGUGGA